Molecule: ribosomal RNA, 445 nt
Filed under: Monoplistes sp. dgi1
Lineage: Eukaryota; Metazoa; Arthropoda; Insecta; Coleoptera; Scarabaeidae
Description: partial 16S ribosomal RNA
Source: RNAcentral
CAUGUCUUUUUGAUUAUAAUUUAAAGUCUAGCCUGCCCUAUGAAUUUUUAAAUGGCCGCGGUACUUUGACCGUGCAAAGGUAGCAUAAUAAUUAGUUUCUUAAUUAGGAACUGGAAUGAAUGGUUGGACGAGAAAAAUACUGUCUCAAUUUAAUUUAAAUUAGAAUUUUAUUUUUAAGUAAAAAAGCUUAAAUAAUUUUAAAAGACGAGAAGACCCUAUAGAGUUUUAUAUAAUUUUUUUUUAUUUAAAAUUUUAAGUAUUAUAAAUUUAAUUAUUAGAUUUUAUAUUUAAUUGGGGCGAUUGAAAAAUUUAAUUAACUUUUUUUUUAUUUAAACAUUAAUUUAUGAGUUUUUGAUCCAUAAUUUAUGAUUAUAAGAUUAAAUUACCUUAGGGAUAACAGCGUAAUUUUUUUUGAGAGUUCUUAUCGAAAAAAAAGUUUGCGACC